Rhinopithecus roxellana (golden snub-nosed monkey) is the source of this 623-nucleotide long non-coding RNA. RefSeq lists it as uncharacterized. The record is from RefSeq and is a predicted model, not a curated record. NCBI's taxonomy places the organism in Eukaryota, Metazoa, Chordata, Mammalia, Primates, Cercopithecidae. The transcript has 2 exons.
GCCCUCAUAAAAGAGAUCCUGGAGAGAUCCCUCUCUCAUCCUCUUUCCACCGUACUAGGAUACAAGAAGUCAGCCAUCUGGAAGCAGGGAGAGAACCUUCAUGGAACCUGACCAUGCCUAUACCUUAGACUGACCUUAGACUUCCAGCCUCCAGAACUGAGUUGUUCAAGACAUUCAUUGGCCUAUCCAGCAGGGACUGAGUGAGACGGUACGUUGUAUAUUUAUCAAAAGAUGCUUCCAGUUUCACCUUGGCCUGGGCAACUGCAGACAGUCUCUUCCCCCAACACCUGAGUGGCCCCUCGUGGUUGGGUACAUGGAUCCCAAAGCUGAGUGUGAAGUCGGUGCUGGGAACUGAGUCACCAAGGGCAUGGAUGCUUUCACCAAGGCAGACAAGAUUUAAAAAACUAGUUUCACUGGCACUAAUGAGACCAAUAGCAAACCCAGCCUGGAACGUCUUAGGAGACUGGUCACGAUUUCCGUUUCUCUCUCUGCUUGGUGUUUUUGCACAAUCAUGAGGAGUUUGGAGAGCAGAAGGAGGCCUCAAAAAGGACAUCCUGAGCUUCUUGAUAAUGUGUCCAUUGAGGGCCUCGUCACUUAAUUAUAAAGAAAAAUUAUAUUAUUAA